UGUAUCUUUUUUUCAUCUUUCAUCUUUUACUUGUUUCAAUCAUUAGACUGUGGCCAUGCUGGGGCACCACCUUGAAGAAUUGUUAGUUGAAUGACUUGACCCCAGUACUUACAGGGAUGUAAACACACCAA
This is a long non-coding RNA of Octopus sinensis (East Asian common octopus), 131 nucleotides long. RefSeq lists it as uncharacterized. The record is from RefSeq and is a predicted model, not a curated record. Lineage: Eukaryota; Metazoa; Mollusca; Cephalopoda; Octopoda; Octopodidae. The transcript has 3 exons.